UACGAACUUCGUUAGGUGAGGCUCCUGUAUGGAGAUACGCUGCUGCCCAAAAAUGUCCAAAGACGCCAAUGGGUCAACAGAAAUCAUCGACAUAAGGUGAUUUUUAAUGCAGCUGGAUGUUUUGCGUCCUAUGCCAUACAGUGCUAAAGCUCUACGAUUGAAGGCGACC
Molecule: small RNA, 169 nt
Filed under: Bacillus atrophaeus
Lineage: Bacteria; Bacillati; Bacillota; Bacilli; Caryophanales; Bacillaceae
Description: Magnesium sequence
Rfam family: M-box riboswitch aptamer (ykoK leader)
About the family: M-box riboswitch, also know as ykoK leader is described as a metaloregulatory RNA that sense divalent metals and function as a genetic control element of genes related to divalent metal transport in bacteria.
Source: RNAcentral